This 670-nucleotide ribosomal RNA is filed under the name Cryptosporidium cf. bovis G2. RNAcentral's name for it is "SSU rRNA". It matches the Rfam family "Eukaryotic small subunit ribosomal RNA", at positions 308 to 1016 of the family's 1831-position model. Lineage: Eukaryota; Apicomplexa; Conoidasida; Eucoccidiorida; Cryptosporidiidae. The record is from RNAcentral.
UGACCUAUCAGCUUUAGACGGUAGGGUAUUGGCCUACCGUGGCUAUGACGGGUAACGGGGAAUUAGGGUUCGAUUCCGGAGAGGGAGCCUGAGAAACGGCUACCACAUCUAAGGAAGGCAGCAGGCGCGCAAAUUACCCAAUCCUAAUACAGGGAGGUAGUGACAAGAAAUAACAAUACAGAACCUUACGGUUUUGUAAUUGGAAUGAGUUAAGUAUAAACCCCUUAACAAGUAUCAAUUGGAGGGCAAGUCUGGUGCCAGCAGCCGCGGUAAUUCCAGCUCCAAUAGCGUAUAUUAAAGUUGUUGCAGUUAAAAAGCUCGUAGUUAAUCUUCUGUUAAUUUUUAUAUAUAAUAUCUCGAUAUUUAUAUAAUAUUAACAUAAUUCAUAUUACUUUUUAGUAUAUGAAACUUUACUUUGAGAAAAUUAGAGUGCUUAAAGCAGGCUAUUGCCUUGAAUACUCCAGCAUGGAAUAAUAUUAAGGAUUUUUAUUCUUCUUAUUGGUUCUAGAAUAAAAAUGAUGAUUAAUAGGAACAGUUGGGGGCAUUUGUAUUUAACAGUCAGAGGUGAAAUUCUUAGAUUUGUUAAAGACAAACUACUGCGAAAGCAUUUGCCAAGGAUGUUUUCAUUAAUCAAGAACGAAAGUUAGGGGAUCGAAGACGAUCAGAUACC